This 346-nucleotide unclassified non-coding RNA is filed under the name Hevea brasiliensis (rubber tree). The record is from RNAcentral. Lineage: Eukaryota; Viridiplantae; Streptophyta; Magnoliopsida; Malpighiales; Euphorbiaceae.
GGAUCCCACUCUGCAACACAGCACAAUUAAAAAGAAUUCAGAUAUUUUCACAAAUUAGUUGAAGAUUAGCACCUGUGACACAGUUCAAACUCUCAAUAUUCGAAAUGAUCUGAAAUUUAAGCUGGUGCCAAGAGAACUGAUGUGCAGAUAUUCUCGCCACAUAAUGACAGUGUAGAAAACAAAUCAAUUGAUAUUUGCCCCAAUUGAGUUGAAAAUUUAAUAUCACAUCAAAGAUUAAACAAAAUUUCAGUAAUUAACUGAAACUUUAAAAUAUCAUAAACAGCACAAGUUAAAAAUUAAUGACCUUGCCCUCGCUAGUCCAUUGUUCUUCACAAUCAAACUUCAU